This 274-nucleotide ribosomal RNA is filed under the name uncultured bacterium. RNAcentral describes it as "partial 16S ribosomal RNA". It matches the Rfam family "Bacterial small subunit ribosomal RNA", at positions 523 to 796 of the family's 1533-position model. The record is from RNAcentral.
AUACGGAGGGUGCAAGCGUUAUGCGGAAUCAUUGGGUUUAAAGGGUCCGUAGGCGGGCGAUUAAGUCAGAGGUGAAAUCCCACAGCUCAACUGUGGAACUGCCUUUGAUACUGGUUGUCUUGAGUUACAGUGAAGUAGAUAGAAUGUGUAGUGUAGCGGUGAAAUGCAUAGAUAUUACACAGAAUACCGAUUGCGAAGGCAGUCUACUAACUGUAUACUGACGCUAAUGGACGAAAGCGUGGGGAGCGAACAGGAUUAGAUACCCUUGUAGUCC